UCCUGACUGACCGAUAGUGAACCAGUACCGUGAGGGAAAGGCGAAAAGAACCCCGGCGAGGGGAGUGAAAAAGAACCUGAAACCGUGUACGUACAAGCAGUGGGAGCACGCUUAGGCGUGUGACUGCGUACCUUUUGUAUAAUGGGUCAGCGACUUAUAUUCUGUAGCAAGGUUAACCGAAUAGGGGAGCCGAAGGGAAACCGAGUCUUAACUGGGCGUUAAGUUGCAGGGUAUAGACCCGAAACCCGGUGAUCUAGCCAUGGGCAGGUUGAAGGUUGGGUAACACUAACUGGAGGACCGAACCGACUAAUGUUGAAAAAUUAGCGGAUGACUUGUGGCUGGGGGUGAAAGGCCAAUCAAACCGGGAGAUAGCUGGUUCUCCCCGAAAGCUAUUUAGGUAGCGCCUCGUGAAUUCAUCUCCGGGGGUAGAGCACUGUUUCGGCAAGGGGGUCAUCCCGACUUACCAACCCGAUGCAAACUGCGAAUACCGGAGAAUGUUAUCACGGGAGACACACGGCGGGUGCUAACGUCCGUCGUGAAGAGGGAAACAACCCAGACCGCCAGCUAAGGUCCCAAAGUCAUGGUUAAGUGGGAAACGAUGUGGGAAGGCCCAGACAGCCAGGAUGUUGGCUUAGAAGCAGCCAUCAUUUAAAGAAAGCGUAAUAGCUCACUGGUCGAGUCGGCCUGCGCGGAAGAUGUAACGGGGCUAAACCAUGCACCGAAGCUGCGGCAGCGAUGCUUAUGCGUUGUUGGGUAGGGGAGCGUUCUGUAAGCCUGCGAAGGUGUGCUGUGAGGCAUGCUGGAGGUAUCAGAAGUGCGAAUGCUGACAUAAGUAACGAUAAAGCGGGUGAAAAGCCCGCUCGCCGGAAGACCAAGGGUUCCUGUCCAACGUUAAUCGGGGCAGGGUGAGUCGACCCCUAAGGCGAGGCCGAAAGGCGUAGUCGAUGGGAAACAGGUUAAUAUUCCUGUACUUGGUGUUACUGCGAAGGGGGGACGGAGAAGGCUAUGUUGGCCGGGCGACGGUUGUCCCGGUUUAAGCGUGUAGGCUGGUUUUCUAGGCAAAUCCGGAAAAUCAAGGCUGAGGCGUGAUGACGAGGCACUACGGUGCUGAAGCAAC
Molecule: ribosomal RNA, 1117 nt
Filed under: Shigella sonnei
Lineage: Bacteria; Pseudomonadati; Pseudomonadota; Gammaproteobacteria; Enterobacterales; Enterobacteriaceae
Description: partial 23S ribosomal RNA
Rfam family: Bacterial large subunit ribosomal RNA
Source: RNAcentral